This 555-nucleotide long non-coding RNA is filed under the name Citrus x clementina. Its description in RNAcentral is "Citrus clementina (C. clementina) long non-coding RNA (CCLE_LNC005926)". Lineage: Eukaryota; Viridiplantae; Streptophyta; Magnoliopsida; Sapindales; Rutaceae. The record is from RNAcentral.
CCGCGGACGAACUUCGCCCACGCCCCCCACCAAGGCUAUAGCCCACCGGUUAUUUGGCCAUUUUUCCGCUGGGGGGUCUUGGGACCCCGACCUUCGGGGGCUGAUUUUUGGGCGCGGCUGUGCCCGUGGCCUAUUUUUGGCACACGGAGGCCGCCCGCCAAGUCUGGGGCCAUUCCGAGUCCCGCGGACGAACUUCGCCCACGCCCCCCACCAAGGCUAUAGCCCACCCGUUUUUUGGCCAUUUUUCCUCUGGGGGGUCUUGGGACCCCGACCUUCGGGGGCUAAUUUUUGGGCGCGGCUGUGCCCGUGGCCUAUUUUUGGCACACGGAGGCCGCCCGCCAAGUCUGGGGCCAUUCCGAGUCCGGCGGACGAACUUCGCCCACGCCCCCCACCAAGGCUAUAGCCCACCCGUUUUUUGGCCAUUUUUCCGCUGGGGGGUCUUGGGACCCCGACCUUCGGGGGCUGAUUUUUGGGCGCGGCUGUGCCCGUGGCCUAUUUUUGACACACGAGGCCGUCCGCCAAGUCUGGGGCCAUUCCGAGUCCCGCGGACGAACU